Molecule: RNA transcript, 292 nt
Organism: Camelina sativa (false flax)
Lineage: Eukaryota; Viridiplantae; Streptophyta; Magnoliopsida; Brassicales; Brassicaceae
Gene name: pentatricopeptide repeat-containing protein At1g34160-like
Source: RefSeq, a predicted model, not a curated record
CAUGGACAGUGGAGAGAGAUUUAUGAGAAGAUCGACGAGAUCAGGUUGAAGAUAAGGGAGGAUGGUUACGUGGCCCAGACGGGACUCGUGUUGCACGACAUUGGAGAGGAAGAGAAAGAGAACGCUUUGUGCUAUCACAGCGAGAAAUUGGCGGUGGCCUACGGACUGAUGAUGAUGGAUGGUGCGGAAGAGGAGUGUCCGGUGAGAGUUAUAAAGAACCUGAGAAUUUGUGGGGACUGUCACGUUGUUUUCAAACAUAUUUCAAAGAUUUAUAACAGAGAGAUCAUUGUUA